UACGGGGGGGGCAAGCGUUGUUCGGAAUUACUGGGCGUAAAGGGCUCGUAGGCGGCCCACUAAGUCAGACGUGAAAUCCCUCGGCUUAACCGGGGAACUGCGUCUGAUACUGGAGGGCUUGAGUUUGGGAGAGGGAUGCGGAAUUCCAGGUGUAGCGGUGAAAUGCGUAGAUAUCUGGAGGAACACCGGUGGCGAAGGCGGCUCUCUGGGACGGUACUGACGCUGAGACGCGAAAGCGUGGGGAGCGAACAGG
Molecule: ribosomal RNA, 253 nt
Filed under: uncultured bacterium
Lineage: Bacteria
Description: partial 16S ribosomal RNA
Rfam family: Bacterial small subunit ribosomal RNA
Source: RNAcentral